RNAcentral lists this ribosomal RNA (285 nucleotides) under uncultured prokaryote. RNAcentral describes it as "partial 16S ribosomal RNA". It matches the Rfam family "Bacterial small subunit ribosomal RNA", at positions 8 to 300 of the family's 1533-position model. The record is from RNAcentral.
AGAGUUUGAUCCUGGCUCAGAGCGAACGCUGGCGGCAUGCUUAACACAUGCAAGUCGCACGGGCAGUAGCAAUAUUGUCAGUGGCGGACGGGUGAGUAACGCGUAGGAAUUUAUCUUUGGAUGGGGACGAACCGUGGGAACGUAACGCGUAAUAACCGCCAUGAUGCCUCGAGGGGCCGAAACGACUUGUCAAGAGCGUCUGAAGAGAAGCCUGCGUCUGAUUAGCUAGUUGGUGGGGUAAAGGGACCGUACCAAGGACGUCGAUCAGUAGCUGGUCUGAGAGGA